AGUUCUAUGCCUGAUAAAAGGAUUAAAUUGUAAAUUUAUUAAUGAGAAGUAAACUCUAGAACUA
Molecule: transfer RNA, 64 nt
Filed under: Andrena chrysosceles
Lineage: Eukaryota; Metazoa; Arthropoda; Insecta; Hymenoptera; Andrenidae
Description: tRNA-Tyr
Source: RNAcentral